RNAcentral lists this transfer RNA (73 nucleotides) under Candidatus Riflebacteria bacterium RBG_13_59_9. Its description in RNAcentral is "tRNA-Trp". It matches the Rfam family "tRNA". Rfam says of the family: Transfer RNA (tRNA) molecules are approximately 80 nucleotides in length. Their secondary structure includes four short double-helical elements and three loops (D, anti-codon, and T loops). Further hydrogen bonds mediate the characteristic L-shaped molecular structure. tRNAs have two regions of fundamental functional importance: the anti-codon, which is responsible for specific mRNA codon recognition, and the 3' end, to which the tRNAs corresponding amino acid is attached (by aminoacyl-tRNA synthetases). tRNAs cope with the degeneracy of the genetic code in two manners: having more than one tRNA (with a specific anti-codon) for a particular amino acid; and 'wobble' base-pairing, i.e. permitting non-standard base-pairing at the 3rd anti-codon position. The record is from RNAcentral. Lineage: Bacteria; Candidatus Rifleibacteriota.
AGGCCCAUAGCUCAAUUGGUAGAGCAUUGGUCUCCAAAACCAAAGGCUGUCGGUUCGAGUCCGGCUGGGCCUG